AACAGAACAUAUGAAAAUGUGAAAGCAGGUCAUUUGAUUGGUAAAUCUGGUGCAACGCUACCAGUGUUAUACACCAUGCAUUUACACCAUGCUGCUGUGUGACCAAGUGAGGGGCAUCACAAGGAAGGGGAAGAUAUUUAGAUCAUUCAUGGAGCCUUCAACAUCAUAUUAAAACCAAAUUAUAAAGAGAACUCAAGAAGCCAGAGUUUUACAUUUAGUCAUGACCAGUCAUGACAUUCAGCAAAUGAAUGAGUAUCUGAUGAAAAUUAGUGAGAGUUUUCAGAGAAUGGGAGAUACCGUCGGGACACCUUCACUAAGCCUGCUAUAUUAUACUACAACAAUAUAAUGACAAACAUUGCUGUUAUUCUACCAAAGAACAUCAAAGAAAUAGUGAAGUCUUACAGUACCUGAAGAAAAUCCUAGUCUUGCCUAUAGUAUUAUACCUGAAGGAAGUUUUGACCACUUAUCCUAAAGUUAUUCAUGCAUAAUAACAUGGGUCCACUAUGCACUACCAUGAAUAUGCUUCAAAUAAUUUUAAAAAAAGAAAUUUAAUAAUGUACAUUCUUAAAUAAAAGAUAAAAAGUGUAUAAACAGUGGUCUCAUUGCAUGUAAAAUGAUAAUUCCAUCCUUUGUUACAAUUAUUGAAUUUUUAUUAAAUUGACAAAAGAAUUAAAGAAAUCUAUGUCAAAAAUGUCUAUUAUUAUUUUCAAGGCUUAAGGAUAACGUUCUUGGGUAUAUCAUAGAAAAUAUAUAAUUAUUUUUCACAAUAUGACCAACAUUUGCCCCCCCCCCCCCUAAUAUUUUGCCAAUAUAUAGAAUUCUAUAAUAAACAUAGCUACUCUAUACUUGUGCCCCCUCAGAAAAUAUGUCUAAUGAUCUUUUGUCCUUAUUUUGCUUU
This is a long non-coding RNA of Saccostrea cuccullata (small rock oyster), 898 nucleotides long. RefSeq lists it as uncharacterized. The record is from RefSeq and is a predicted model, not a curated record. The transcript has 3 exons. Lineage: Eukaryota; Metazoa; Mollusca; Bivalvia; Ostreida; Ostreidae.